This 498-nucleotide ribosomal RNA is filed under the name uncultured bacterium. Its description in RNAcentral is "partial 16S ribosomal RNA". It matches the Rfam family "Bacterial small subunit ribosomal RNA", at positions 30 to 523 of the family's 1533-position model. The record is from RNAcentral.
AUUGAACGCUGGCGGCAUGCCUUACACAUGCAAGUCGAACGGUAACAGGUCUUCGGAUGCUGACGAGUGGCGAACGGGUGAGUAAUACAUCGGAACGUGCCUAGUAGUGGGGGAUAACUACUCGAAAGAGUGGCUAAUACCGCAUGCGAUCUACGGAUGAAAGCCGGGGAUCGCAAGACCUUGUGCUACUAGAGCGGCCGAUGGCAGAUUAGGUAGUUGGUGGGAUAAAAGCUUACCAAGCCGACGAUCUGUAGCUGGUCUGAGAGGACGAUCAGCACAACUGGGACUGAGACACGGCCCAGACUCCUACGGGAGGCAGCAGUGGGGAAUUUUGGACAAUGGGCAAAAGCCUGAUCCAGCAAUGCCGCGUGCAGGAUGAAGGCCUUCGGGUCGUAAACUGCUUUUGUACGGAACGAAAAGCCCCGGGUUAAUACCCUGGGGUCAUGACGGUACCGUAAGAAUAAGCACCGGCUAACUACGUGCCAGCCGCCGCGGUAA